AGGAGGGACGUCCCACAGUUAACUCUGUGUAUCCAACUCACGUGGAACUUGUCGAACUUUUAAAAGUUCAAACAUUUAACUCAGGAGGUCGGUUUUGUUGUACUGCGCCUUCAAGGCUAGUCCUCCCCGCCCAUCAUUUCUACGUGCCUUUCUGCGUGCCUUAAUCUCCUCCCUAGGACAACAGACAGACAUUAAGGAAUCAGAUCUCACGUAGCGUUUGUGAGAAAUACUACAAAAACAUCAAUAAACUACACCAGCUCACAUCCAUGUUUACUGUGCCCAGUUUAAUGAUAAACAUGAUGUUUCCC
Molecule: long non-coding RNA, 308 nt
Organism: Danio aesculapii
Lineage: Eukaryota; Metazoa; Chordata; Actinopteri; Cypriniformes; Danionidae
Exons: 3
Source: RefSeq, a predicted model, not a curated record